RNAcentral lists this ribosomal RNA (253 nucleotides) under uncultured bacterium. RNAcentral's name for it is "partial 16S ribosomal RNA". It matches the Rfam family "Bacterial small subunit ribosomal RNA", at positions 524 to 776 of the family's 1533-position model. The record is from RNAcentral.
GACGGAGGGUGCAAGCGUUGUUCGGAAUUACUGGGCGUAAAGGGCGCGUAGGCGGUCUGUUAAGUUCGGUGUGAAAGCCCCGGGCUCAACCUGGGAACUGCAAUGGAAACUGGCGGGCUUGAGUGUGGCAGAGGGGGGUGGAAUUCCACGUGUAGCAGUGAAAUGCGUAGAGAUGUGGAGGAAUACCGAUGGCGAAGGCAGCCCCCUGGGCCAAUACUGACGCUCAUGCACGAAAGCGUGGGGAGCAAACAGG